AUUGAACGCUGGCGGCAUGCUUUACACAUGCAAGUCGAACGGUAACAGGCCGCAAGGUGCUGACGAGUGGCGAACGGGGGAGUAAUGCAUCGGAACGUGCCCAGUCGUGGGGGAUAACUACUCGAAAGAGUAGCUAAUACCGCAUACGAUCUAUGGAUGAAAGCGGGGGACCGUAAGGCCUCGCGCGAUUGGAGCGGCCGAUGUCAGAUUAGGUAGUUGGUGGGGUAAAGGCUCACCAAGCCAACGAUCUGUAGCUGGUCUGAGAGGACGACCAGCCACACUGGGACUGAGACACGGCCCAGACUCCUACGGGAGGCAGCAGUGGGGAAUUUUGGACAAUGGGCGCAAGCCUGAUCCAGCAAUGCCGCGUGCAGGAAGAAGGCCUUCGGGUUGUAAACUGCUUUUGUACGGAACGAAACGGCUCUGGUUAAUACCCGGGGCUAAUGACGGUACCGUAAGAAUAAGCACCGGCUAACUACGUG
Molecule: ribosomal RNA, 482 nt
Filed under: uncultured bacterium
Lineage: Bacteria
Description: partial 16S ribosomal RNA
Rfam family: Bacterial small subunit ribosomal RNA
Source: RNAcentral